Molecule: long non-coding RNA, 1094 nt
Organism: Heterocephalus glaber (naked mole-rat)
Lineage: Eukaryota; Metazoa; Chordata; Mammalia; Rodentia; Bathyergidae
Source: Ensembl
CCUGCCUUGGGGCCAGCCGACUAUGGACUGAAACCCCUACAAACUGUGAGCCAAAAUAAACCUUUCCUCCUUUAACUUAUUUUACAGCUGGAAGAUAAGCUGGGGCGACUUUGACUUUCCUGUGUCUCCAUCUCAGCAGUCCGUGUCUUCUGGACAAGAUUUACAGAGCUCUGCUUAUUUGGAUGAAAAAUAGAGAGAGACAAGCUGUCAGUAUAAGGUUGUUACAGAAAAUGUAAAGUAUGCUCAAAAUGAAAAGAGAUGCAGAAUACAAUAAGAACCAGAUCUUUCAGAAGUGCUAACAGAAUCUGUGGCUUUAUGGAGAGAAACAUACUCUGGAAAACUGCUGCUCAGCAAGAAAAGGAUAGAGAGAUACAAUCCCAAUCUCUCAAAACUCUCUCACUUGGAUCUCCUGAUGUUGCAUUGGCAUUGAUGUUUUUUCCUCAACUGAAACAGAAACCACAGAUAGGCAAAGUGUGGUUGUUUUACAGUUAGCAGUUCUGAGCUUUAAUGUCAGCAGCUGUUAGAUCUUAGUAUUAGAUACUCUCCACACUUUCCUGGCAGCUGGAGCCAGAGGCUACCAAUAGCCCUCAGGAACCCUUCUGGCAAUCAGAGGUGCUGGCUCUCAGCAGUUCCUCAAAAUUCUCCACCAUUUUCUGGCUUUUAGUGUUUCCAGACUCAGCUGAUGGCUGCUUUUGGUUCCAGUGGUCUUUGGUAUUACGAGCUCUUAGUUAACCAGCUUAGCUUGCUUUGAUUGAGAUACAAAUCCCAAAUAGGCAGAUAACUUCUCCCAUGUCAUGAAAUUCCAACCUAGUAGUGAAAGCAUCUCUCACUUUGCUUAUGAAAUAUAUCACCUAACAGAGGCUUUAUUGGGGCUUAUGCACAAGAAGGAAAGUAUAUGGCUGACUUGACAGAGGGUAUGAGGAUGUCAGUUGUAUAGAAGAAAAAGCAAGCUCAGGCAUGCAGUGUCCUGCCAGCUAAUUAUAGACCUUCCUAGUCUUGAGUACAGAGGAUCUUCUUGAGGAUUAUGUUGAAAGAGGUGGAGUCAUCCAGAGAGGUUCUAGGUGGAGUCAUCUGGGAUGGACCUGUGGUUUUAU